Molecule: ribosomal RNA, 406 nt
Filed under: uncultured bacterium
Lineage: Bacteria
Description: partial 16S ribosomal RNA
Rfam family: Bacterial small subunit ribosomal RNA
Source: RNAcentral
AUUGAACGCUGGCGGCAGGCUUAACACAUGCAAGUCGAGCGAGCGGCGGACGGGUGAGUAAUGUCUGGGAAACUGCCUGAUGGCGGGGGAUAACUACUGGAAACGGUAGCUAAUACCGCAUACCAUCAGAUGUUCCCAGAUGGGAUUAGCUAGUGGGUGGGGUAAUGGCUCACCUAGGCUACGAUCCCUAGCUGGUUUUAGAGGAUGACCAGCAACACUGGAACGGAGACACGGUCCAGACGCCUACGGUGGGCAGCAGUGGGGAAUAUUGCACAAGGGGCGCAAGCCUGAUGCAGCCAUGCCGCGUGUGGGAAGAGGGCCUUCGGGUUGUAAAGCACUUUCAGCGAGGAGGCGUUACUCGCAGAAGAAGCACCGGCUAACUCCGUGCCAGCAGCCGCGGUAAUUC